GACGAACGCUGGCGGCGUGCUUAACACAUGCAAGUCGAACGGAAAGGCCCUGCUUUUGUUGGGUGCUCGAGUGGCGAACGGGUGAGUAACACGUGAGUAACCUGCCCUUGACUUUGGGAUAACUUCAGGAAACUGGGGCUAAUACCGGAUAGGAGCUCCUGCUGCAUGGUGGGGGUUGGAAAGUGUCGGCGGUUGGGGAUGGACUCGCGGCUUAUCAGCUUGUUGGUGGGGUAGUGGCUUACCAAGGCUUUGACGGGUAGCCGGCCUGAGAGGGUGACCGGCCACAUUGGGACUGAGAGACGGCCCAGACUCCUACGGGAGGCAGCAGUGGGGAAUAUUGCACAAUGGGCGGAAGCCUGAUGCAGCAACGCCGCGUGCGGGAUGACGGCCUUCGGGUUGUAAACCGAUUUCGCCUGUGACGAAGCGUGAGUGACGGUAAUGGGUAAAGAAGCAACGGCUAACUACGUG
This 468-nucleotide ribosomal RNA is filed under the name uncultured bacterium. RNAcentral describes it as "partial 16S ribosomal RNA". It matches the Rfam family "Bacterial small subunit ribosomal RNA", at positions 28 to 507 of the family's 1533-position model. The record is from RNAcentral.